UACAGAGGGUGCGAGCGUUAAUCGGAAUUACUGGGCGUAAAGCGUGCGUAGACGGUUAUUUAAGUCGGGUGUGAAAGCCCCGGGCUCAACCUGGGAAUUGCAUUCGAGACUGAAUAGCUAGGGUGCGGUAGAGGGAAGCGGAAUUUCCGGUGUAGCGGUGAAAUGCGUAGAUAUCAGGAGGAACACCGAUGGCGAAGGCAGAUCUCUGGGCCGUAACUGACGCUGAGGAGCGAAAGCAUGGGGAGCGAACAGG
This 253-nucleotide ribosomal RNA is filed under the name uncultured bacterium. RNAcentral describes it as "partial 16S ribosomal RNA". It matches the Rfam family "Bacterial small subunit ribosomal RNA", at positions 524 to 776 of the family's 1533-position model. The record is from RNAcentral.